CCUACGGGAGGCAGCAGUAGGGAAUAUUGCUCAAUGGGGGAAACCCUGAAGCAGCAACGCCGCGUGGAGGAUGAAGGUUUUCUGAUUUUAAACUCCUUUUGGUAGGGAAGAUAAUGACGGUAUCUAACGAAUAAGCACCGGCUAACUCCGUGCCAGCAGCCGCGGUAAUAAGGAGGGUGCAAGCGUUACUCGGAAUCACUGGGCGUAAAGAGCGCGUAGGCGGGAUAGCAAGUCAGAUGUGAAAUCCUAUGGCUUAACCAUAGAACUGCAUUUGAAACUGUUAUUCUAGAGUAUGGGAGAGGUAGGUGGAAUUCUUGGUGUAGGGGUAAAAUCCGUAGAGAUCAAGAGGAAUACUCAUUGCGAAGGCGACCUGCUAGAACAUAACUGACGCUAAUGCGCGAAAGCGUGGGGAGCAAACAGGAUUAGAUACCCUGGUAGUC
This 440-nucleotide ribosomal RNA is filed under the name uncultured bacterium. RNAcentral's name for it is "partial 16S ribosomal RNA". It matches the Rfam family "Bacterial small subunit ribosomal RNA", at positions 338 to 795 of the family's 1533-position model. The record is from RNAcentral.